This 600-nucleotide ribosomal RNA is filed under the name uncultured bacterium. RNAcentral describes it as "bacterial SSU rRNA". It matches the Rfam family "Bacterial small subunit ribosomal RNA", at positions 883 to 1482 of the family's 1533-position model. The record is from RNAcentral.
GGGUCGCAAGAUUGAAACUCAAAGGAAUUGACGGGGGCCCGCACAAGCGGUGGAGCAUGUGGUUUAAUUCGAUGCAACGCGAAGAACCUUACCCAGGCUUGAACUGCAGACGACAUCCUACGAAAGUAGGCUCCCCAAAGGGCGUCUGUAGAGGUGCUGCAUGGCUGUCGUCAGCUCGUGUCGUGAGAUGUUGGGUUAAGUCCCGCAACGAGCGCAACCCUUGUCUUCUGUUGCCAUCGGGUCAAGCCGGGCACUCUGAAGAGACUGCCGGUGACAAACCGGAGGAAGGUGGGGAUGACGUCAAGUCAGCAUGGCCUUUAUGUCUGGGGCCACACACGUGCUACAAUGGCCGGCACAAACCGUCGCGAUCCCGCGAGGGGGAGCUAAUCGGAGAAAGCCGGUCUCAGUUCGGAUUGUAGGCUGCAACUCGCCUGCAUGAAGCUGGAAUCGCUAGUAAUCGCGGAUCAGCACGCCGCGGUGAAUACGUUCCCGGGCCUUGUACACACCGCCCGUCACAUCACGAAAGCUGGCUGUACUAGAAGUCGUCGCGCGAACCCGCAAGGGAAGCAGACGCCUAAGGUAUGGUCAGUGAUUGGGGUG